This is a small nucleolar RNA of Caenorhabditis briggsae, 127 nucleotides long. It matches the Rfam family "Nematode snoRNA ceN40". Lineage: Eukaryota; Metazoa; Nematoda; Chromadorea; Rhabditida; Rhabditidae. The record is from Rfam.
UAGCGAUGAUCGAUUCUUUGUACAGUGUCCGAGGCUUUCUGGCCCGACGUGGCCUGAAUAAGGCUGUAACCCAACGUUUCGGGCCGUUAGGCAGAAGAUGGAUGAAUUAGUGCAAUGUCUGAGCUUU